GAAACGGAGUUACAAGAGGCUACCAGAGAAUUCCAGGGAAUCAUGGAAGCUGAUAAAGACAACACACAACAAGUUCUUAAGGAGCAUGGGCCACAUGAAUUUAUAAAAGAUGAACAAAAUAAGGAACUAAUUGAUGAAAUGACAAAGGAAAAUAUUCAACUAAAGAAGGAGAUCCAAAAGCUCGAAACGGAGUUACAAGAGGCUACCAGAGAAUUCCAGGUACUCUCUUAAUUAUUUUAUACACUACAUUUUUGAUGGACGCAUGGUUUUUGGAAAAAGCAUUUUAAUUAUAUAAAAUUCAUUUUUGAAACCUUAUCAUCCAUGGCACCACCAUUUGUAAUAGUUCAAAAUGGAAAACAGCCCAAUGAUUCCUUCAUAAGAGAAUGAGUUAGUGAAGUGGGGUAUAGUCAUAUGGUAGAAAACUACACAGCAAUGAGAAGGAACAGAUCAUAACGACAUGCAGCAACACAAAUGGGUUUCAUAAACACAAUGUUAACACAAAAAAGACAGAUGAGGGCGUACCAUAUGCUUCCCUUUAAAUUAAGCAAAAGCAGGAUGUUCGAAGUUAAAACAGUGGUUACUUUUGGAAGCAGGUAAGACCCAGAAGGGAACCCAAGGGAGUUUCUGGAGUGUUGUCAUGUUCUGCGUGUCAUCUGUGUGCCAAUCACAUA
Non-coding RNA from Chlorocebus sabaeus (green monkey), 671 nucleotides. The record is from RefSeq and is a predicted model, not a curated record. Lineage: Eukaryota; Metazoa; Chordata; Mammalia; Primates; Cercopithecidae.